Molecule: ribosomal RNA, 293 nt
Filed under: uncultured bacterium
Lineage: Bacteria
Description: partial 16S ribosomal RNA
Source: RNAcentral
GGACUACUAGGGUUUCUAAUCCUGUUCGCUCCCCACGCUUUCGUGCCUUAGCGUCAGAUACAUGCCAGCAAGCUGCCUUCGCCAUUGGUGUUCCUACCGAUAUCUACGCAUUUCACUGCUACACCGGUAAUUCCACUUGCCUCUCAUGUCCUCUAGCACUCCAGUAUGCAAUACAGUCCACAUGGUUGAGCCACGGGAUUACGCAUUGCACUUAAAGCGCCGCCUACGCACUCUUUACGCCCAGUGAUUCCGGAUAACGCUUGGACCCUACGUAUUACCGCGGCUGCUGGCAC